Molecule: ribosomal RNA, 416 nt
Filed under: uncultured soil bacterium
Lineage: Bacteria
Description: bacterial SSU rRNA
Rfam family: Bacterial small subunit ribosomal RNA
Source: RNAcentral
AGAUUGAACGCUGGCGGCAUGCCUUACACAUGCAAGUCGAACGGCAGCGCGGGAGCAAUCCUGGUGGCGAGUGGCGAACGGGUGAGUAAUACAUCGGAACGUGCCCAAUCGUGGGGGAUAACGCAGCGAAAGCUGUGCUAAUACCGCAUAAGAUCUACGGAUGAAAGCAGGGGAUCGCAAGACCUUGCGCGAAUGGAGCGGCCGAUGGCAGAUUAGGUAGUUGGUGAGGUAAAGGCGUCACCAAGCCUUCGAUCUGUAGCUGGUCUGAGAGGACGACCAGCCACACUGGGACUGAGACACGGCCCAGACCUCCGUACGGGAGGCCAGCAGGUAGGGGAUUUUGGACAGUGGGACGAAGCCUGAUCCAGCCAUCGCCGCGUCGCGAGGAGUCGAAGGUCCGUUCGGUUAGUAACGUU